Molecule: ribosomal RNA, 884 nt
Filed under: uncultured Alphaproteobacteria bacterium
Lineage: Bacteria; Pseudomonadati; Pseudomonadota; Alphaproteobacteria
Description: bacterial SSU rRNA
Rfam family: Bacterial small subunit ribosomal RNA
Source: RNAcentral
CGCUGGCGGCACGCCUAACACAUGCAAGUCGAACGAAGUAGCAAUACUUAGUGGCAGACGGGUGAGUAACAUGUAGGUAUCUGCCCUUUGGCCUGGAAUAACACGAGGAAACUUGUGCUAAUACCGGAUAAGUCUUUACGGAGAAAGCUUUAUGCACCAUUGGAGGAGCCUGCACUAGAUUAGUUUGUUGGUGGGGUAAUGGCCUACCAAGACUGUGAUCUAUAGCUGAUUUGAGAGGAUGAUCAGCCACAUUGGGACUGAGACACGGCCCAAACUCCUACGGGAGGCAGCAGUGGGGAAUCUUGCACAAUGGAGGAAACUCUGAUGCAGCGAUGCCGCGUGAGUGAAGAAGGCCUUUGGGUUGUAAAGCUCUUUCGUCGGGGAAGAAAAUGACUGUACCCGAAUAAGAAGGUCCGGCUAACUUCGUGCCAGCAGCCGCGGUAAUACGAAGGGACCUAGCGUAGUUCGGAUUUACUGGGCUUAAAGAGUUCGUAGGUGGUUGAAAAAGUUGGUGGUGAAAUCCCAGAGCUUAACUCUGGAACUGCCAUCAAAACUUUUCAGCUAGAGUAUGAUAGAGGAAAGCAGAAUUUCUAGUGUAGAGGUGAAAUUCGUAGAUAUUAGAAAGAAUACCAAUUGCGAAGGCAGCUUUCUGGAUCAUUACUGACACUGAGGAACGAAAGCAUGGGUAGCGAAGAGGAUUAGAUACCCUCGUAGUCCAUGCCGUAAACGAUGUGUGUUAGACGUUGGAAAUUUAUUUUCAGUGUCGCAGCGAAAGCGAUAAACACACCGCCUGGGGAGUACGACCGCAAGGUUAAAACUCAAAUGAAUUGACGGGGACCCGCACAAGUAGUGGAGCAUGUGGUUUAAUUCGAAGAUACGCGCAG